Long non-coding RNA from Acyrthosiphon pisum (pea aphid), 286 nucleotides. RefSeq lists it as uncharacterized. The record is from RefSeq and is a predicted model, not a curated record. NCBI's taxonomy places the organism in Eukaryota, Metazoa, Arthropoda, Insecta, Hemiptera, Aphididae. The transcript is spliced from 2 exons.
ACAAAAUAUGUAUUAUAUAAACAGCAGAUAACUCAAAUGAAAUAAUUGAUCCAGCAUAUGAUCAAUUUGAAAUUGAAGUAUGGCCGAGUGAUGAUAAUAAUAAGAACGAAGACCCUAUCAGAGAAGACAUAUUACUUUCAGAUGCCAAUGUUAUACAAAUACCAAGUGUAUCAACAUGGACUUCUUCUGAUUCGGUAAAGCUUUUGAAAACAAAACCAAAAGCAACUGAGCUAAGUUUCAGUGAUACACCCCAUAAAAAAAAAACAGGUAAUAUAUUUCUGCUUUG